CCUACGGGAGGCAGCAGUAGGGAAUCUUCCACAAUGGUCGAAAGCCUGAUGGAGCAACGCCGCGUGGGUGAAGAAGGUCUUCGGAUCGUAAAACCCUGUUGUUAGAGACGAAAGUGCGUGAGCGUAACUGUUCACGUUUCGACGGUAUCUAACCAGAAAGCCACGGCUAACUACGGCCCAGCAGCCGCGGUAAUACGUAGGUGGCAAGCGUUAUCCGGAUUUAUUGGGCGGAAAGGUAACGCAGGCGGUCUUUUAAGGCUGAUGUGAAAGCCUGCGGCUUAACCGGAGUAGUGCAUUGGAAACUGGGAGACUGGAGUGCAGAAGAGGAGAGUGGAACUCGAGGUGUAGCGGUGAAAUGCGGAGAUAUAUGGAAGAACACCAGUGGCGAAAGCGGCUCUCUGGUCUGUAACUGACGCUGAGGUUCGAAAGCGUGGGUAGCAAACAGGAGUAGAUACCCUAGUAGUC
Molecule: ribosomal RNA, 465 nt
Filed under: uncultured bacterium
Lineage: Bacteria
Description: partial 16S ribosomal RNA
Rfam family: Bacterial small subunit ribosomal RNA
Source: RNAcentral